GCACCCGUAGCUCAGUUGGAUAGAGCGUCUGAUUGCGGUUCAGAAGGUCGCACGUUCGAAUCGUGCCGGGUGCGCCA
This 77-nucleotide transfer RNA is filed under the name SAR324 cluster bacterium. Its description in RNAcentral is "tRNA-Arg". It matches the Rfam family "tRNA". From Rfam's summary of the family: Transfer RNA (tRNA) molecules are approximately 80 nucleotides in length. The record is from RNAcentral. RNAcentral also lists the same sequence under 2 other names. Lineage: Bacteria; Deltaproteobacteria.